GGGAAUGUCUUCGCACGAUGGUUCUGGAGUAGAAGAAAUACAGCAAGCGUCCCAUCCUGCGUUACCCUCUUCGGUUUACCCAGGACACUUUCACUUAUCAGUCUUCCCCAAUAUUUUGAACACGUGCAGUAUGCUGGCCACAGUUUUUCUGCAAGGCAGUUAAUGGAAUAGAAAUAUGAGAAGGAAAUCAAAGGCGAAACGAGUCCUUGACUACGAAAGUGAAGAAGAUGAAGACGGGGCUCAAAAAGUAGAUCAUGGGGCGCAGAAAAGAAGAAAACAGAUGUAUCUUGAUAAAGAGACAGUCGAAGAAAAUUCUUUAUCCUCAGUCGGCUUCCAGAAGUGGAUACGGGUUUGUUACAUAUACAGUUACAUACUGUAUAUCUUGAAACAUGUCUAUUCUAUAAUAAAUGCACC
This is a long non-coding RNA of Oncorhynchus tshawytscha (Chinook salmon), 414 nucleotides long. The record is from Ensembl. Lineage: Eukaryota; Metazoa; Chordata; Actinopteri; Salmoniformes; Salmonidae.